GAUAUCAACUGAAAAAGUCAUCAACAACAAAGUUGAAUAACUCAUCAAGAUCUAAAACUUUUAUUUUGGUCAUUUCUUCAUACGACAAAGUGAUAGUAACAUUAUUCACAAAAUUGACAUAUCUCUUAUCUGGUUUUAUAAACUAUAACACAUAUAUGUAAAAUUUGUGAAUAAUAUUACUAACAUUUCGUCAAAUGAAGAAAUAACAAAAAUAAAAGUUUUAGAUCUUGAUGAGUUAUUCAACUUUGUUGUUGAUGACUUUUUCAAUUGAAAUC
Molecule: microRNA precursor, 275 nt
Organism: Oryza sativa Japonica Group (Japanese rice)
Lineage: Eukaryota; Viridiplantae; Streptophyta; Magnoliopsida; Poales; Poaceae
Rfam family: MIR821 microRNA precursor family
Source: Rfam